Molecule: long non-coding RNA, 542 nt
Organism: Oryza brachyantha (malo sina)
Lineage: Eukaryota; Viridiplantae; Streptophyta; Magnoliopsida; Poales; Poaceae
Exons: 3
Source: RefSeq, a predicted model, not a curated record
CAAACUUGGUGCAUCGCCUCCAAAACCUUUGACUUCUUGGGCUUUCGGCACGGGGUUUGUCAGCUUCACAAUCGUUAGCCCUCGGCCAUGGCGUUCCUUUCCCCUCCGAGGACGUUGAAGAGAAAGAAGAGGACCAGCAAAGCCACCAAGAAGAAAACUAAGAUAACUGCAGAGGCCAUACCCAUGGAAACUACAUCGGUCGACCUUGACGCAGCUAUCGUCGUCACGGCCGAUGAAGACUCUCACACCGAGGCCAAGCAGCAGCCGCCUACCCGGCUAUCGACCGAUACUGCCUUCAUGCCGACCGACGUCGCCGACUCGAUUCCUGUUACCGAUGCGGUGCCUACCCCAGCAAGCCUGGCUCCUGCGUCCACUGCAGUUGCCCCAAGUUUGAGGUCUGGCACAAAGAGAAAGCUUGUUGUAACAUUCUGAUUUUCGCGAGUCCAAAAAUUCCGUUAAUCAAAAAUCCCAAUCUCAAAAAUCCUGAUUAUCGUACCAACUCCCAAGCUCAAUUGUUCCUGAGGAAUAAUAAAUCAUCUAUU